This 234-nucleotide ribosomal RNA is filed under the name uncultured bacterium. RNAcentral's name for it is "partial 16S ribosomal RNA". It matches the Rfam family "Bacterial small subunit ribosomal RNA", at positions 100 to 334 of the family's 1533-position model. The record is from RNAcentral.
CGGGACGGGUGAGUAAUGUCUGGGAAACUGCCUGAUGGAGGGGGGUAACUACUGGAAACGGUAGCUAAUACCGCAUAACGUCGCAAGACCAAAGAGGGGGACCUCCGGGGCCUCUUGCCAUCGGAUGUGCCCAGAUGGGAUUAGCUAGUAGGUGGGGUAACGGCUCACCUAGGCGACGAUCCCUAGCUGGUCUGAGAGGAUGACCAGCCACACUGGAACUGAGACACGGUCCAG